Molecule: long non-coding RNA, 3245 nt
Organism: Photinus pyralis (common eastern firefly)
Lineage: Eukaryota; Metazoa; Arthropoda; Insecta; Coleoptera; Lampyridae
Exons: 3
Source: RefSeq, a predicted model, not a curated record
AGAGACGGUUCAAAGCAGUUCGAAAGCGGUUCAAAGCAGUUCGAAAGCGGUCCAACGGCUUUUUCAACUGAUCCAAGGGCUCUACCUAUCUGAUCUAACGGCUUUGCCAACUGUUCCAGCGGGGUUUGCUAACUGACCUAAAGGAGGUGUGAUCCUUUUAAUUCCCAUAGCUUGCUUUUCCGUAAAGGCAUAAAGGGGUUCAGAACAGAGGACAGAAACCAUUUGGUGUUGUGUUGUCGAGAAGAGCAGCCCUUCAACGAUGUCUAAAGCGUGUAAUUGGGGAAGACCUUGUAACUGUAGCGACUGUCGACCUGAGCUAAAGGAAAAAUGUGAAAUUUGCUGCGAGAGAGAAGGAUACCGCGUUGGAAGUACUUUAAGAAAAGACAGAAAGGGGAUAAAGUACUAUGACUCUGAAACUUGUUGUCAACAAUGCUAUCAGGAAAAUUAUGGCGAGAGAGAAGAACGAAUCUUUAACAUGAUGCUGCAAAUUCUCGAGGAUUCGAUUAAAAAUCCUACCAAAAAGCCUCAACCUGACCCUGUCUACGUUACCGAGCGAAAAGAAAUUAAAGAGGUGUUGUGCAGAUUAUUCGGAAAAGAACUGUAUAUGUGUGAAGAUGAUAAAUGUCGACGCAGAAUACCGCAAAUUCUUGAUAAACUUAAAGUGAAGAUUGUUUGGGAAAACAAGAACGGUGGGAAAUUUGAAUAUGAAAGUGAUGAAAUUAGAUACGAUCAUACAACUGGCUGGUUUGAACAGUAUAUUUUACCUGAGAUAAUAAAGAAAAUAGUGGGACCUAUUUGGGUUAAAACAUUGCAAAUUUCCCCUACAUAUAGAUUACCUAAGGUCGUAUAUGUAACAAAGGGCUAAGUUCUCCGUAGAGAUUGGUAUAGAAAACAUUUAUAGUGAGGCUGAUAAUUUUUUGCAAGAGACUACACUUCAAAUUAUUCUACGAAACUGUUAAAGUCGCUAAAGGUUGGUAAUCCUAUAUACCUUGAGGAUCUAUUAGGAGAACCUAUAAUGGGACACUUCGAUGCUAAAGAAAUGUAGAAAACAACCCAUCCGAGAAAGUUUUAAGGCGUAAAGGAGACAAGCUCUACGUUAGAUGGAUGACAUGGACAAAUCGCACGAUUCUUGGAUUAAAAAUCUGAUUUUGUAUAUCUAUCAUGCAACUGUUGGCAUGCCUGAUGAUCCUAAAACUAAUAUAAUGAAUGUCUUGGAACGAUUAAUGUUAGUUUACUGUAGCAAUACUGAUAUCAAUUAACAUUAGAAUAAUAUGUAACCGAAUUGAAGAAAUGGUAAUAUCGGAGAUAUCAGCGAUGAAGAGGAAAGUGUGGAACGGAAUAAAAGAAAGAGUAAUGUGAAGAAGAAAAUCAGAAGGAAGAAAAAAGAGCUGUACAAUAGCAAGUUUUGCUUAAAAAGCUCAUUCUCAGACUCGUUUGUAUGCUUGACGCAAUGAAACAAAAUAAAAUUUAUAUCUUGCGAGCUUGGUCCUAUGCUCACAGAGAAGCAAGAAAGGGUCCGUGGGAAACUAUCGCAUUAGAUAGGUACCGCUUCAAAUGUAAAAUAGAACGCAUUGCAGCUGUUUUGGAGCCCAUAUUAUGUAGUCGUAUUAAGAUGUAUCAAUUGCAAUAUAGUAAAAAUGAUUGAAUUUGGUUGUUUUAUUUGGAAAAUUACUGAAUUACAUGAGUAUUAUAAAUAUAAUAAACGUUAGAUAAAGCGCAACAGCAAAGUGAGCGUACAUGAUAGUAGCAACAUGCUUCUAAUUUAGGUAAAGCUGGUUCUUCUUCCACCUCGGCGACAUUUUGCGAUAGAGUUUUUCGAAUGAAAUCGACUUUUUCUUUUCCUUGAACGUAUACUUGGUCUGAUGAUGAUAUUAACUGGCGAAGUAUAGUUGGAAACAUGUAGGAUGGCGUAUGACCAUGCUCCCAUUUAAUUCCGUGAUGGUUAUGAAUUAACCAGGUAGCUUGCCGUUGUACCUAAGCCACCUGCUUUCCAUUAUAAAUUGCAAGCUCUUUCGGCAAAUCCGGAGCGCUUUUACACAAAUACCUGAUUAUGUAAAAUCAAAAUUAUAGUAUUAUUCAGUAUAAAGCGGUCACAUCAUCCAAUGCAAUUUUAUAGAUAACGCGCUUCUUCGGUUCUAUUGUUAUCAAUAUGACACCUUUGGCUUAAACGCCUACAAGUUCUAACGGUUUCCUGUUAGUCUUGCACCUAUAUAUCCUCGAGUCUAACUAUCAUGUCCCGCAAAAUUUCUAGAAAGAAUUUAUGCUUUUCCUAUUAAAACAAUGCAACUAUAUAGGUGUCCUUGGGUCGUAAUCUUAAGCUAAUUAUUUCAUCAGCUACGCUUUACGAAAUUAUCAAUGGCGGCAGCUCGUGAGUAAAUAAUAGAAUAUAGGUAUCGUUAAACUUUAGUUAUAGCAAAAUUUAAAAUCUACUCAUCUCUAGGGCAUAACGAUAGUCGAUGUAGUGAAACAGCCGGCUUUUGAAUAGGUUGAGGUAAUACUCAAAAGGUAUAUGGAAUUGGUCAAUGAAACGAAAAGUAUGUAUUCAAGUUUAUCGCAUCACCUUCAAAGUAGACCUCCUUCUACAAUAAUACACUACCUACGAGCAUACGUACGCAUUUUCAAAACUAAUAGGGUGCUUUGAUCGAUAAUAAUAUAAAUCUAUCACCGGCCUGUACCAACUGUUUUACCUAUAUAAUAUCAGGUAUGGCGAUAUUGAAUAUGAUGAGUGAAGGAUAUAAAUUUUUAUUGAAUGUUUAUCUGCAUACCCCCUUUGUAUCAAGCUUCCUAUGACCUCGUUUGUCACAUAGCUAUGCAAUCUGUGCAGGUUUCCUGUCUAAAUGGAUAGCAAUAAAUAAAACUCCUCCUAGAAAUCGUUUGAUAGGCAUUUGUUACGAGGAUGGCGGGUAAGAAUGAGCUCUUUUCUAUUUUUCAUCAAACUUAAUGUAUGUAAUUUUUCAGCUCAAGGUGCGGCCAUCGUCUUCGGAGGCGUGCAAACGGCCUAUGGUAAAUACACCGCAUAUCUAUCACACGUUUAACCAUAUAUUUGUAGAACGAGAACUCCGAACACAUCUAAUAGAAAAAUAUGGAUCUGAACAUGUUGCGAUUUUACGGGGUCGGGGAACAAUCCCCGGCUCCGUAAAGAUUGAGGAAGAUGACUUCCAGGGAACGAGGUUCCAGGUCUUUAAAGACCUGGAACUCAAACACACCUAUUGGGUGUUCUAUAAUUAAUAAACCUGUUAAAUUUU